RNAcentral lists this transfer RNA (76 nucleotides) under Desulfovibrio sp. RNAcentral's name for it is "tRNA-Val". It matches the Rfam family "tRNA". From Rfam's summary of the family: Transfer RNA (tRNA) molecules are approximately 80 nucleotides in length. The record is from RNAcentral. RNAcentral also lists the same sequence under 1 other name. Lineage: Bacteria; Pseudomonadati; Thermodesulfobacteriota; Desulfovibrionia; Desulfovibrionales; Desulfovibrionaceae.
GGACGGUUAGCUCAGCUGGUAGAGCGCUGCCCUUACAAGGCAGAUGCCGCAAGUUCAAGUCUUGCACCGUCCACCA